UUAAUAGUAAAAUCUGCUCAAUGAACAAUUCAAUAGCCGCAAUUUGUGCUAAGGUAGCAUAAUCAUUUGUCUUUUAAAUGGGGACUAGAACAAAAGAUUUAACAUCUCAAAUAAUAUUUUAUUUAAACAUUUAAAUCUAUUUUAAAAGUAAAAAAACUUUUAUAAAAGAAAAAGACGAUAAGACCCUAUUGAACUUAACUUUAGUUAAACUGGGGCAGUCAAUUAAUUAUUACUUUAAUUUAAUUACUUCUAUAAAAAGCCUUAUAAUUGAUAAAUCAGUUACCAUAGGGAUAACAGCGUAAUUUUAUUUUAAAGACCUUAUAAAAAAUAAAGAUUGCGACCUCGAUGUUGAAUUAGUAACCUAAUUAAAGCAAAAUUUAAAAUAGGAAGUCUGUUCGACUUUUAAAUAACUACAUGAUUUGAGUUCAGACCGGUAUAAGCCAGGUCGGCUUCCAUCUUUUAUAAAUAUUUCUGUAGUACGAAAGGACCUAGAAAUUCAAUUUUAUUUAUAAUAUUGGCAGAUUAAUGCAUUAGAAUUAGAAUCUAAUUAUCU
Molecule: ribosomal RNA, 553 nt
Filed under: Phidippus sp. MCH-2001
Lineage: Eukaryota; Metazoa; Arthropoda; Arachnida; Araneae; Salticidae
Description: partial 16S ribosomal RNA
Rfam family: Bacterial large subunit ribosomal RNA (bases 169-461)
Source: RNAcentral